GGCGAAGUCAUUAAUCCUAUGCUGCCUAGAAAAGCCCAGUAGCGAGUUGACAUGGUGCCCGUACCCCAAACCAACACAGGUGGACAGGUAGAGCAUACCAAGGCGAGUGGGAUAACUAUGGUUAAGGAACUCGGCAAAUUUCCUCCGUAACUUCGGGAUAAGGAGGACCCCAGUAGCGUGACGAGACUUGCUCUCUGAGCGUGAAGGGGUGGCACAAAAUUGAGGGAAGCGACUGUUUACCAAAAACACAGCAGCGUGCUAAGCCGUAAGGCGCUGUAUACGCUGUGACUCCUGCCCGGUGCUGGAAGGUUACGGGGAUGGGUUAGUCCUUCGGGACGAAGCUCUGAACCUAAGCCCCAGUAAACGGCGGCCGUAACUAUAACGGUCCUAAGGUAGCGAAAUUCCUUGUCGGGUAAGUUCCGACCUGCACGAAUGGAGUAACGACUUCCCUACUGUCUCAACCAUGGACCCAGCGAAAUUGAAGUACGAGUAAAGAUGCUCGUUAGCUGCAGAAGGACGGAAAGACCCCGUGGACCUUUACUAUAACUUGAUGUUGUGCUUUGUCAUAUGUUGUGUAGGAUAGGUGGGAGACAAGGAAGCAUGGACGCUAGUCUGUGUGGAGUCAUCGUUGAAAUACCACCCUGCAUAUGGUGAGGCUCUAACCUAGACCCGUUAUCCGGGUUGGGGACAGCGUCAGGCGGGUAGUUUAACUGGGGCGGUUGCCUCCUAAAGAGUAACGGAGGCGCCCAAAGGUUCCCUCAGCCUGGUUGGCAAUCAGGCGUCGAGUGCAGUGGCAAAAGGGAGCUUGACUGCGAGACCUACAAGUCGAGCAGGAGCGAAAGCUGGGCAUAGUGAUCCGGCGGUUGCGUGUGGAAGCGCCGUCGCUCAACGGAUAAAAGGUACCCCGGGGAUAACAGGCUAAUCUUGCCCAAGCGUCCAUAGCGACGGCAAGGUUUGGCACCUCGAUGUCGGCUCAUCGCAUCCUGGGGCUGAAGCAGGUCCCAAGGGUUGGGCUGUUCGCCCAUUAAAGCGGUACGCGAGCUGGGUUCAGAACGUCGUGAGACAGUUCGGUCCCUAUCCUCUGUAGCCGUAGGCGAAUUGAGGAAAGCUGUCCCUAGUACGAGAGGACCGGGACGGACGCAGCUCUCGUGUGCCAGUUGUCCUGCCAAGGGCAUGGCUGGUUAGCGACCUGCGGAAAGGAUAACCGCUGAAAGCAUCUAAGCGGGAAGCCUCUUCCGAGAUGAAUUCACCCACAGGGUUAACCUGGUAAGGCCCGUGGUAGACCACCACGUUGAUAGGCCGGAAGUGUAAGCGUGGCAACACGUUCAGCUGGCCGGUACUAAUCGGCC
This 1349-nucleotide ribosomal RNA is filed under the name metagenome. Its description in RNAcentral is "bacterial LSU rRNA". It matches the Rfam family "Bacterial large subunit ribosomal RNA", at positions 1584 to 2910 of the family's 2925-position model. The record is from RNAcentral.